AUUGGGGUAGCCAAAAAGUUCAUUUGGGUUUUUCUGUAACAUCUUAUGGAAAAACCUAAAUGAACUUUCUGGCCAACCCAAU
Molecule: microRNA precursor, 82 nt
Filed under: Tursiops truncatus (common bottlenose dolphin)
Lineage: Eukaryota; Metazoa; Chordata; Mammalia; Artiodactyla; Delphinidae
Description: miRNA (ENSTTRG00000024584.1)
Source: RNAcentral